RNAcentral lists this ribosomal RNA (202 nucleotides) under uncultured Glomus. Its description in RNAcentral is "partial 18S ribosomal RNA". It matches the Rfam family "Eukaryotic small subunit ribosomal RNA", at positions 569 to 771 of the family's 1831-position model. The record is from RNAcentral. Lineage: Eukaryota; Fungi; Glomeromycota; Glomeromycetes; Glomerales; Glomeraceae.
AGCAGCCGCGGUAAUUCCAGCUCCAAUAGCGUAUAUUAAAGUUGUUGCAGUUAAAAAGCUCGUAGUUGAAUUUCGGGAUCAAUUAAUUGGUCGUGCCUCUGGUACGUACUGAUUUUAUUGGUUUCCCCCUUCUGACGAACCAUGAUGUCAUUAAUUUGGUGUCGUGAAGAAUCAGGACUGUUUACUUUAGAAAAAAUUAGAG